CUCGGAUCACGUAGGGAUACCCGCUGAACUUAAGCAUAUCAAUAAGCGGAGGAAAAGAAACCAACAG
Molecule: ribosomal RNA, 67 nt
Filed under: Kashiwadia orientalis
Lineage: Eukaryota; Fungi; Ascomycota; Lecanoromycetes; Caliciales; Physciaceae
Description: partial 26S ribosomal RNA
Rfam family: Eukaryotic large subunit ribosomal RNA
Source: RNAcentral